This is a non-coding RNA of Pelobates cultripes (western spadefoot toad), 516 nucleotides long. NCBI's taxonomy places the organism in Eukaryota, Metazoa, Chordata, Amphibia, Anura, Pelobatidae. The record is from the annotation of a GenBank genome assembly.
CAGAGACACUGUCAUACAGAGACAUACAGACUCAGGCAUAGCGACACAGACAUAAAGACACUCUCAUACAUAGUCAUAAAGAGACAUACAGGCACAGAGAUUCAGAUACAAGCAUACAGAGACAAACAGCCACAGACAUUCAGAUACAGUCAUACAGACACUGACAUACUGUCACAGAUAGAUAGGAUCUAACAAGCAAAGACAUGCACAGCAAAUACUAAAAAACAAAAAGCGUAAUACCAAAACGUAGAAUGGCCGGAUUAAACGCCACUAGAAUAGUACUAGACAAGCCGAGGUCAGGGAUACAGAAGACAGAAUAAACGUUUGGAAUAGCCAAAGGUCAAGGACAAUGGAGAGGAGAAUAGUCAAAGAUAAGCCAUGGUCAAAAUGCCCAAAAAUACAAGAAAUAUGAACGCCAGCAUGAUUCCCAGGCGUGUCGCGUGGAGAGCGGACCCAGCAAGAUGUAUUUUUAUUUUUAGCGUGUCUGCGCUGAUCAGGCCUUCAUGAUGACCGGGC